UGGCUUAAUCUUUGAGACAAGCAUAUGACUACUGGCAGGAUCAACCAGGUAGCAUUCCUCUUUGACGUAGCCCACCAUGCACGGACAAGCCGAGACAUGGUAGACAAUCGUUUUGGAGAAGCGAGAACGCUUAACGAGAGCAAAUUCAGGAUCUUAUAAGACCCAUGCCCACAUUAGGUUCCGUAUACAAGAGACCAAGCGAUGCUUCAUAGGCCACAUUAAUGUUGCAAAUGCAACAACAAGAUGGAUCACAAAGACCGCUUCAAUGUUCAUCCCACGUCACAUGAGCGACGACGCAUGACGAAUAGAGACAUCAUAAAACCCACACGUUACCAUCAACUAGGUAUGCAACACAGGAAACCCACAAUAUGCUUAAGACAUCUAAGCCUUGCCGCAAAACUGAAGAGGUAUGCACGCAUGGACGUUGCUGCGCGAGCAGACAGCCAACCACCCGUAACAAACCAAACACCACUCAUGCACCUUUACGGUCGACAUUCCCGAAAACCGCCCAACUAGUAGCCACCCACCCGGCAAAAAGCCAAGCAAGCAACCAAAAGCCAAAACAGCCCCCAAAAUGCAC
This 580-nucleotide unclassified non-coding RNA is filed under the name Leuzea cf. carthamoides FZ-2020. RNAcentral's name for it is "Rhaponticum cf. carthamoides FZ-2020 partial external transcribed spacer". The record is from RNAcentral. Lineage: Eukaryota; Viridiplantae; Streptophyta; Magnoliopsida; Asterales; Asteraceae.